ACAGCGAACGACUGAGACCAUCGGCAUAACAGAACUACUAGCCGACGGUCACUCAUAGAUUUUACCGAUAUAUAGUCGGUUCUACCGAUAUAUGACCGGCUAAUCUGCUCAACAUACCAUAACCGUCACAAAUGGUUAUCAACUACGUGUCACGGCUAUUAAGAAAAAUUAACGUCCCACUAAUUCCAUAUUUAUGAUCCGAUAAUUUAACGUCAUAAAAAAUGAGACCGCAUGCUCGACGGUUACAUCA
This 250-nucleotide long non-coding RNA is filed under the name Elaeis guineensis (African oil palm). RNAcentral's name for it is "long non-coding RNA (EGUI_LNC005903)". The record is from RNAcentral. Lineage: Eukaryota; Viridiplantae; Streptophyta; Magnoliopsida; Arecales; Arecaceae.